GACGAACGCUGGCGGCGUGCUUAACACAUGCAAGUCGAACGGAAAGGCCCUGCUUUUGUGGGGUGCUCGAGUGGCGAACGGGUGAGUAACACGUGAGUAACCUGCCCUUGACUUUGGGAUAACUUCAGGAAACUGGGGCUCAUACCCGAUAGGAGCUCCUGCUGCAUGGUGGGGGUUGGAGAGUGUCGGCGGUUGGGGAUGGACUCGGGGCGUAUCAGCUUGUUGGUGGGGUAGUGGCUUACCCAGGCUUUGAGGGGUAGGCGACCUGAGAGAGUGAUCGGCGACACGGGAGGGUGGCCGGGGACAAGGCUCCUGCGAGAGGGACCAGACGGGAAUGGGCGGCAGCGGGCGGGAACAUGGCGGAGCGGGGGGGAGUGUGAUAUAGAAGCGCCGCGUGCGGGAUGAUGUGUUACUGGUGAAAAACAGCUUUCGACUGAACUGUGCAGGGAUUGACGGUACCGAGUAAAGAAGCAACGGCUAACUACGUG
RNAcentral lists this ribosomal RNA (488 nucleotides) under uncultured bacterium. RNAcentral's name for it is "partial 16S ribosomal RNA". It matches the Rfam family "Bacterial small subunit ribosomal RNA", at positions 28 to 507 of the family's 1533-position model. The record is from RNAcentral.